Molecule: ribosomal RNA, 984 nt
Filed under: Triticum aestivum (bread wheat)
Lineage: Eukaryota; Viridiplantae; Streptophyta; Magnoliopsida; Poales; Poaceae
Description: partial small subunit ribosomal RNA
Source: RNAcentral
AUGGGGUUCGGCGUGGUGUCCCUGCUCAACGCGGUGUUCCGCCGGGCCUUCACCUCGGCCGGCCUCCGUCCCAGCUCCGUCGCCGUCGAUGCCGACACCACGCUCCACUUCUGGGCGCACCCCUCCCUCCUCUCCUCCCCCGACGCCGAGUCCAAGCAGCGGGGGCGGCGGCCGGUGGUGGUGCUGAUCCACGGCUUCGGCCCGGACCCGACGUGGCAGUGGGCGUCGCAGGUGGGCCCGCUGUCCAAGCACUUCGACCUCAUCGUGCCCACGCUGCUCUUCUUCGGCGCCUCCACCACGCGGGCCCCGGGCCGCUCCGACGCGUUCCAGGCCGCCGCCAUCGCCAAGCUCCUCGCCAGCGACCACCUCGCCGCCGGGGAUGGGCGGGUGGUGCACGUGGUGGGCACCAGCUACGGCGGGCUGGUGGCGUACCACCUGGCGCGGGCGCUGCAGCAGGGAGGCGGAGCGUGGACGGUGGGGAAGGUGGCGGUCUGCAGCUCGGACCUGGCCAAGGGCCCCGAGGACGACCGGGCGCUGGCGGCCAAGGGCGGCGUGGCGGACGUGACGGAGCUGAUGGUGCCGGCGGACACCAAGGCGCUGCGGCGGCUGAUGGACAUCUGCGCGCACGGCCCGCCCAAGUACCUCCCCGAGUGCCUCGCCCGCGACCUCCUCCGGAAGUGCUUCGCUGUCCAGAGAGAGGGGAAGAUCGAGCUGAUCAAGGGGAUCGCCUCCGGGCACGGCUUCCAGAUCACUCCUCUCCCUCAGGAAGUGUUGAUCGUGUGGGGCGAGUUCGACCAGAUCUUCCCGGUGGCCAAGGCGCACAAGGUGAAGGAGAAGCUCGGGGAGAAGGCGACGGUGAGGAUCAUCCCCAACACGGGCCACCUGCCGCAGCAGGAGGACUCCAAGCUCUUCAACCAGAUCCUCCUCGACUUCCUGCUGCCUCCGCCUUCCUCCUCCAAUGGCGCCGUCGCCGCCGCCAAGUAG